UUAAGACAUCUUCAUAAUUGCCUGAAUUCAUCUUAUAAUGUAUGUGUUGUUUAAACGAUUAUAUUUUGUGGAGCGAUUCAGCACUUAAUGAUUUCACUCUGGAUGUGGGUCGUGGCCUCGAGCCAUUGUUGCAGAGAUUUAGAAUGAGCGGUUGUCGUAUUUUCAUCGGUCGAUUAAACCCCUCUGCUCGGGAGAAGGACGUCGAGCGGUUCUUCAAGGGUUACGGAAGAAUCAGGGACAUCGACCUGAAAAGAGGCUUCGGAUUUGUAGAAUUUGAUGAUCCGAGAGAUGCAGAAGAUGCUGUUUAUGAGCUUGAUGGUAAAGAGCUCUGCAAUGAGAGGGUGACCAUUGAACAUGCCCGUGUCCGUCUGCGUGGAGGCCGAGGCCGAGGUGGUGCUGGUGGUGGUGGAGGUGGAGGUCGUUUUCCUGGUCGGUAUAGUCGUGGCUCCCAGGACAGCCGGAGGAAUCCUCCACCAAUGCGCACAGAGAAUCGCCUCAUUGUGGAGAAUCUGUCAUCGAGAGUCAGCUGGCAGCCUGACUGUUGUGUCGUAUGGAAGAGCUCGCUAAUGGUGGAGUUAACCCCUACAGGGCCCCUCUCUCUGCUUAAGCCACUCCCAUUGUGUCCCACGCCUAGUUGACCUCCAUCGAUCGCAUGAGAGCUGUCUGUGAGUGAUGCCCUCUCGCUCUAGAAGCAGCGGCUGCCGCUACAAAGCACAGUUUGUGACGGUGCCGAGCUGAAAGAGAGAGACAGAGAGUGAGAGAGAGGGGCAGAAAGAGAGCGAGAGAAACAGAGAAACAGAGCCAAUCUCUGGUAUACACAGUCAAUCGAGGGGUUCGGUAAUUUGAGAGGCUUCGAUCGGUAUACUCACCCACCCUGGUCCCAGGUAUUAGUCUAUAAUCUCUUCCUCGCUGUUUACGCUCAAGGGGAUGGCACAAAUAGGGUACGAUCGAUGGAGUAAAGCCAUGUGCUCUACCACACUCUAUACACUUUUGUUUUGGUAAGAAUGCAUCUGCAAUGUAAAUGUAUUUGACAUUUUAUCAAAUGUGGGGCCCUUUUUUAACGAGCUGCUCCACAUAUUUCCUCUGCUAGUCUUGUAUUUCGGGGGUCAGGGAAUGUUACAGCGUUGCAAGCCAAAAUACCCUUGAUUAUACGCCACUCCUUUUUUGUUUCAGUGCUCGUUAAUUUGGUCUGACAAGACAGAAGUCUUUGUGUUUAGAAGCCAGGGUUGGCCUCACAAAGCUUUGAAUAGAGAUUUCUAAGACCAUGAAAUGGGGCUGAUUCACUCCUUUACAACACAUGUUGUGAUUUCAAAGGUGUCAGGUGCUUUUUGCAGUUCUUUCGUCUGAUUACUAAUCCAAACUGUUACCCUACACAGACCCUGUACCUUUUGUUGGUAUCCGUGUGCUGAAAUGUUCUUCAGCCUAAUUUGAUUGUUUGUAUUGAAGCAUAUUGAACAUGGUCCAGGCUUGAGCAUGAGCUGAGAGAUUCUCAGACCCCAACUAUGAUAGUUCAGUUACUGUGAUACUGCAUAAAACGUAUACUUAGCUAACUCUAAAUGCUGGUGUACUGUGUGUAGGAUUUGAAGGAUUUCAUGAGACAGGCUGGAGAGGUUACUUUUGCAGAUGCCCAUCGGCCAAAGCUUAAUGAGGGUGUGGUUGAGUUUGCUUCUCAUAGUGAUCUAAAAAAUGCCCUUGAGAAGUUGUCUGGGAAGGAGAUCAAUGGAAGG
Carassius carassius (crucian carp) is the source of this 1727-nucleotide RNA transcript. It is a transcript of the gene named serine/arginine-rich splicing factor 5-like, with no coding region annotated. The record is from RefSeq and is a predicted model, not a curated record. NCBI's taxonomy places the organism in Eukaryota, Metazoa, Chordata, Actinopteri, Cypriniformes, Cyprinidae. The transcript has 7 exons.